UGGGGAAUAUUGCACAAUGGGCGAAAGCCUGAUGCAGCAACGCCGCGUGAGUGAUGAAGGUCUUCGGAUUGUAAAGCUCUGUCUUUUGGGACGAUAAUGACGGUACCAAAGGAGGAAGCCACGGCUAACUACGUGCCAGCAGCCGCGGUAAUACGUAGGUGGCGAGCGUUGUCCGGAUUUACUGGGCGUAAAGGGUGCGUAGGCGGAUGUUUAAGUGAGAUGUGAAAUACCCGGGCUUAACUUGGGUGCUGUAUUUCAAACUGGAUAUCUAGAGUGCAGGAGAGGAGAAUGGAAUUCCUAGUGUAGCGGUGAAAUGCGUAGAGAUUAGGAAGAACACCAGUGGCGAAGGCGAUUCUCUGGACUGUAACUGACGCUGAGGCACGAAAGCGUGGGUAGCAAACAGGAUUAGAUACCCUGGUAGUCCACGCCGUAAACGAUGAGUACUAGGUGUAGGAGGUAUCGACCCCUUCUGUGCCGCAGUAAACACAUUAAGUACUCCGCCUGGGGAAGUACGAUCGCAAG
This 522-nucleotide ribosomal RNA is filed under the name uncultured bacterium. RNAcentral's name for it is "partial 16S ribosomal RNA". It matches the Rfam family "Bacterial small subunit ribosomal RNA", at positions 355 to 892 of the family's 1533-position model. The record is from RNAcentral.